UUGUCGUCAGGGAUGUGGAACGCGGACUGGAUGCCGACCUUACUUCGGAGUUCCUCCUGUGCUCUGGGUAUGUUGAUGAUGUUUUUGUUUUGUGGCAAAACGACCAUGGGGCUGAUGACCUCAUGGCGCACUUUGCUGGGAAGGCGUGUGGGCUCUCCCUCAGAUUGGAGCGGGCAAGCCGUACUGACAUUGACUUCCUCGAUAUUGGAAUCUUUGUCGCUGACGGCACCUUCGAGGCCGCUGUGUGCACCAGGCCGUCUUUUGCCCCGGUUAUCAUUCCCAGGUGGUCCUUUGGCCCAUGGUCUUUUGGG
This 311-nucleotide long non-coding RNA is filed under the name Androctonus crassicauda. Lineage: Eukaryota; Metazoa; Arthropoda; Arachnida; Scorpiones; Buthidae. The record is from RNAcentral.